GACGAACGCUGGCGGCGUGCUUAACACAUGCAAGUCGAACGCUGAAGCCCUUUCGGGGGUGGAUGAGUGGCGAACGGGUGAGUAACACGUGGGUAAUCUGCCCUGCACUCUGGGAUAAGCCUUGGAAACGGGGUCUAAUACCGGAUAGGACACAUCGCCGCAUGGUGUGUGUGUGGAAAGUUCCGGCGGUGCAGGUUGAGCCCGCGGCCUAUCAGCUUGUUGGUGGGGUGAUGGCCUACCAAGGCGACGACGGGUAGCCGGCCUGAGAGGGUGACCGGCCCCACUGGGACGGAGACACGGCCCAGACUCCUACGGGAGGCAGCAGUGGGGAAUCUUGCGCAAUGGGCGAAAGCCUGACGCAGCAACGCCGCGUGGGGGAUGACGGCCUUCGGGUUGUAAACCUCUUUCGACCGGGACGAAGGGUGACUGACGGUACCGGUAGAAGAAGCACCGGCUAACUACGUGCCAGCCGCCGCGGUAA
This 481-nucleotide ribosomal RNA is filed under the name uncultured bacterium. RNAcentral describes it as "partial 16S ribosomal RNA". It matches the Rfam family "Bacterial small subunit ribosomal RNA", at positions 28 to 523 of the family's 1533-position model. The record is from RNAcentral.